This 1374-nucleotide ribosomal RNA is filed under the name Staphylococcus aureus. RNAcentral describes it as "partial 23S ribosomal RNA". It matches the Rfam family "Bacterial large subunit ribosomal RNA", at positions 822 to 2196 of the family's 2925-position model. The record is from RNAcentral. Lineage: Bacteria; Bacillati; Bacillota; Bacilli; Caryophanales; Staphylococcaceae.
AGAAAUUCCAAUCGAACCUGGAGAUAGCUGGUUCUCUCCGAAAUAGCUUUAGGGCUAGCCUCAAGUGAUGAUUAUUGGAGGUAGAGCACUGUUUGGACGAGGGGCCCCUCUCGGGUUACCGAAUUCAGACAAACUCCGAAUGCCAAUUAAUUUAACUUGGGAGUCAGAACAUGGGUGAUAAGGUCCGUGUUCGAAAGGGAAACAGCCCAGACCACCAGCUAAGGUCCCAAAAUAUAUGUUAAGUGGAAAAGGAUGUGGCGUUGCCCAGACAACUAGGAUGUUGGCUUAGAAGCAGCCAUCAUUUAAAGAGUGCGUAAUAGCUCACUAGUCGAGUGACACUGCGCCGAAAAUGUACCGGGGCUAAACAUAUUACCGAAGCUGUGGAUUGUCCUUUGGACAAUGGUAGGAGAGCGUUCUAAGGGCGUUGAAGCAUGAUCGUAAGGACAUGUGGAGCGCUUAGAAGUGAGAAUGCCGGUGUGAGUAGCGAAAGACGGGUGAGAAUCCCGUCCACCGAUUGACUAAGGUUUCCAGAGGAAGGCUCGUCCGCUCUGGGUUAGUCGGGUCCUAAGCUGAGGCCGACAGGCGUAGGCGAUGGAUAACAGGUUGAUAUUCCUGUACCACCUAUAAUCGUUUUAAUCGAUGGGGGGACGCAGUAGGAUAGGCGAAGCGUGCGAUUGGAUUGCACGUCUAAGCAGUAAGGCUGAGUAUUAGGCAAAUCCGGUACUCGUUAAGGCUGAGCUGUGAUGGGGAGAAGACAUUGUGUCUUCGAGUCGUUGAUUUCACACUGCCGAGAAAAGCCUCUAGAUAGAAAAUAGGUGCCCGUACCGCAAACCGACACAGGUAGUCAAGAUGAGAAUUCUAAGGUGAGCGAGCGAACUCUCGUUAAGGAACUCGGCAAAAUGACCCCGUAACUUCGGGAGAAGGGGUGCUCUUUAGGGUUAACGCCCAGAAGAGCCGCAGUGAAUAGGCCCAAGCGACUGUUUAUCAAAAACACAGGUCUCUGCUAAACCGUAAGGUGAUGUAUAGGGGCUGACGCCUGCCCGGUGCUGGAAGGUUAAGAGGAGUGGUUAGCUUCUGCGAAGCUACGAAUCGAAGCCCCAGUAAACGGCGGCCGUAACUAUAACGGUCCUAAGGUAGCGAAAUUCCUUGUCGGGUAAGUUCCGACCCGCACGAAAGGCGUAACGAUUUGGGCACUGUCUCAACGAGAGACUCGGUGAAAUCAUAGUACCUGUGAAGAUGCAGGUUACCCGCGACAGGACGGAAAGACCCCGUGGAGCUUUACUGUAGCCUGAUAUUGAAAUUCGGCACAGCUUGUACAGGAUAGGUAGGAGCCUUUGAAACGUGAGCGCUAGCUUACGUGGAGGCGCUGGUGGG